This is a long non-coding RNA of Leopardus geoffroyi (Geoffroy's cat), 264 nucleotides long. RefSeq lists it as uncharacterized. NCBI's taxonomy places the organism in Eukaryota, Metazoa, Chordata, Mammalia, Carnivora, Felidae. The transcript is spliced from 3 exons. The record is from RefSeq and is a predicted model, not a curated record.
CUGAACACCAAAGCAUUACCACUGUCCCACACCUGACAGUAAUAGUCAGCCUCGUCCUCGGCCCGGGCCCCGCUGAUGGUCAGGGUGGCCGUGUUCCCUGAGUUGGUGCCUGAGAAUCGGUCAGGGAUCCCUGAGGGCCGUUGCUAUCAUCAUAGAUAAUCAGCAUGGGGGCCUGGCCCAUCUUCUGCUGGUACCAUUGAACAACUUUCCCUCCAAUGUUGUUUCUACUACCUGUGAUCUGGGCUGUCUGUCCCAGGAUCACUG